AUGGAGUCUCUGCUGGCGGCCGCGCCCUUCCAUGUCGCAGCCUUCUCAUCCGUAUCCUCUCCGUCCACCCACUCGCCGUCUCUCCUCCGCAGCAUCCGUGGAGGCGGCCGCGCCGUCCGAUGCGCCGCGGCCAAGGAGGCCAUCCUGUACGCGCUGGAGCACGAUGAGAUGUUCAACUCGGAAGAGGUGAUCCAGUGGGAGAGCGGCAAGACGAUCAACUCCAUCGCCGCCGCGCAGGGCAUCCGCAUCCGCCGCCGGUGCCGCCCCCGGUACCCCUCGGAGGGCUCCGGCGACGAUAAGGCCGUGCCCCGCAACAUCCUCGAGCAGAUCGUGUGGGACAAGGAGGUGGAGGUGUCGCAGAGGAAGGCCAAGAAGCCUCUGAAGAGUGUCGUGGAGUCCAGCGAGCACGCGCCGCCGGCCAGGGAUUUCAUCGGCGCUCUCACGGCAGCCCACCGUCGCAACGGCGUGCCUGCCCUGAUCGCCGAGGUUAAGAAGGCGUCGCCCAGCAGGGGCGUGCUAAGGGAGAACUUCAACCCGGUUGAGAUCGCGCAGGCAUACGAGAAAAACGGCGCGGCUUGCCUUAGCAUCCUCACGGAUGAGAAGCACUUUCAGGGGAGCUUUGAGAACCUUGAAACGGUCCGCAAUUCGGGUGUGCAGUGCCCUCUUCUGUGCAAAGAGUUCGUCAUCGAUAUCUGGCAAAUCUACUACGCACGAUCAAAGGGCGCCGAUGCGAUUCUCUUGAUUGCUGCUGUGCUACCGGAUCUUGACAUGAAGUACAUGCUUCGCAUUUGCAAAAAUCUUGGAAUGACUGCUCUUAUUGAGGUUCACGAUGAGAAAGAACUCGACCGCGUGCUGAGAAUAGAUGGUGUUGAGCUUAUUGGAAUCAAUAACCGUAGUCUAGAGACAUUCGUAGUUGAUACUUCAAACACAAGGAUGUUGAUGGAGAAGCGUGGUGAUAUCAUAAAGGAGAAGGGAAUAUUUGUUGUUGGUGAAUCUGGCCUGUUCACUCCCGAUGAUGUUGCAUAUGUGCAUAGCGCUGGCGUUUCUGCUGUUUUGGUAGGAGAGUCUCUGAUCAAGGAAGAAGAUCCUGGGCGAGCCAUUGCUGGGCUUUUCGGGAAGGAGCUCUUGAGUUGA
RNAcentral lists this ribosomal RNA (1134 nucleotides) under Triticum aestivum (bread wheat). RNAcentral's name for it is "partial small subunit ribosomal RNA". The record is from RNAcentral. Lineage: Eukaryota; Viridiplantae; Streptophyta; Magnoliopsida; Poales; Poaceae.